UCCCCUCGGCUUAUCUGUGGAAGCAGCGGUUUUCCCAGGCCAGAGACGGCUCCAGACCAAUUUUUUCAAUUGCUGUAAUCCCACCCUGUUCCACGGACCCCCUUUUCGACUCAGAGUCCCCUGGAGUGUGGGAGGACCCACAAGCGCUACCGUCGAGGACUCUGCGCCUGCCUAAACUGCCCCGGGCGGCCGCACCCCUCGUCUUCUCUCUGUGACCUGUUGUUGUCGCACGCCGCUUUGUCCACAUCCCCUAACAGUCACUUCCUAUGGGUCUGGCCGCAGUCGUCCCUUCAAUCGCACUGGCCAGUUCCACAACUGACUCUUCCGCCCCUCUGGCAGAACAGGGCGAGCAGGACGCGCAUGCGCGGACCCCACCUCCACAGAGCACAGGGUGACCCCUCGGAGGGCCUGACAGGGGCGGAAGGAGCAUGCGCAGAUGCCGCGAACCGCUCCGGAAGGGAAGAUGUGCUGAGUGGGUGGGUAUUGGCAAAGCCAGACCUGUUCAUCUCCGCGCCCCUGCUGCCCUCCUUCUCCCUGAGUCUUAUCUUCCCAUACUCGGUCAGGACUAUAGGACAGCCGCGUAUCGGAAUCUUAGUGUGAAUCCUUCCGUUUAGCUAGCAACCCCUCUAAAAAAAGACUUGAGUUAAUAAAAAUCAUAUUUAAUCUGUUGACUUGCUUAGAAUGGGUGCAACCUGUAGAUCACCGUCCAGUCCUUGGUUCCAGAGCAGGCGACUCUUCUUCCUCA
This is a long non-coding RNA of Bubalus bubalis (water buffalo), 745 nucleotides long. RefSeq lists it as uncharacterized. The transcript has 2 exons. NCBI's taxonomy places the organism in Eukaryota, Metazoa, Chordata, Mammalia, Artiodactyla, Bovidae. The record is from RefSeq and is a predicted model, not a curated record.